This is a long non-coding RNA of Salvelinus fontinalis (brook trout), 6314 nucleotides long. RefSeq lists it as uncharacterized. The record is from RefSeq and is a predicted model, not a curated record. The transcript is spliced from 3 exons. NCBI's taxonomy places the organism in Eukaryota, Metazoa, Chordata, Actinopteri, Salmoniformes, Salmonidae.
CAGAGUGAUGACAUCACUGCAUUCUCAUUCGGCCAUUUCUUGGGAGAACACUUUCUAUCUAGAAUAAUUAACAACUUCAUGAAAUAUACAGAGACCUGUGAAAGCCUGUCUACAGAUGAAGAGAUCCCAAUGAAUGUCCCAAGACUGCAGUGGUUCUCAAUCCUGGUCCUGGGGAGACAAAAAACAAAAACAUUUUUGUUUUUGCCUUAGCACUACACAGUUGAUUGAAAUGAUCAACUCAUCAUCAAGCUUUGAUGAUUUUAAUCAGGUGUGUAGUGCUAAGGCAAAACUAAAAUGUGCACCCCUUGACAUUGUGUAUCCGAAGCAGAGAAUAGCUUAACUCACACAUUGUUUACAUAUUGUAGAGCUUUAUGUUCUUAAUUUAAAAUGAUAGCAUUAUACAAUGUAUAUGAGGCUAAUCAUGAUGCCAUCCAAUAUGAUAUCAAAAUAAGGAGCUGGCCAUUUGUAGGCUACAGGAGAUGAGCAUUACAGGUAAGAUAUUACGAGGUUAAUUUAAUUCAUUUGACCAAUGCUGCUUGCAGUAAGGUUUCAAUUGGGUUGUUCCCAUAGAUAGUACAUCAUUGGUUUCUCUAUGCAUCAUUGACCCUGGGUAAGCAUGAGACUGGGCUACCACAGCAAACGUUUUAUGUCAAUAAUAUAUAUAUAUUUUUUAUGUUGUAUAAUGGUGAGAAAAAUGUAACUAGUUAGUAACUAGCUAGCUAAUACCAAGGUGUCUAACAAUGUUAUGGGCUAGCUGACUUUUCUCAAAACAAACCUCAUUGUGGCUAGCUACUUUUUGUCCCUCAUCAGGGCUGGCGUUAUGGGCAUCUUUUUGGGAAUCUGAGGGCCCAUGCCAAAUCUUUUCAGCCUCCUGCGAUGGAAGAGGCAUUGCCGUGCCCUAUUUACGACUGUGUUGGUGUGUGUGGACCAUGAUAGAUCCUGAGUAAUAUUGUGGACACAGAGGAACAUGAAACUCUCGACCCGCUCCUCUACAGCCCUGUCGAUGUGAAUGCAGUGAAUGCAGAGUGUUAGGUACCGGUGUGAGAAUACAAUGUGAUUAUUGAGUAACCUGGAGAAAUUGUGUCCCAGGAACCCCUGUGGUGCUAGCUCUCUCUCUCCCUCUCUCCCUCUCUCCCUCUCUCCCUCUCUCCCUCUCUCCCUCUCUCUCUCUCUCUCUCUCUCUCUCUCUCUCUCUCUCUCUCUCUCUCUCUCUCUCUUCUUUGUCUCCUCUUUGUCUCCCAGUGUCAUAUUAUUGGUGUUAUUAUCCUGUCCAACUUGUUCCUCUGUUCUAUUCUGCAGUGGAGAUAAUAUGUCUCACUAAUGGGGUGCCUGACUUCUGACACACACACUUUCACAGCAUACACACAAAUGCCCAGCAUGGCAUGCACAAACACACAGACACAGGCACAUAUACACACACACUCAGUAACCUUGAAUGGAUGUGCACAGACUUGCACAAUUCUAAGCUAUGCUGUCAGAGCCAGGUAUUAGAAGGAUUUCUGUUGAAACUCACAGGAAAACAGGGCAGUUCCCAGGAUCUCCCUGAUAUUAAUAGACUGUGGUGCGUGUGUGUGUGUGUGUGUGCAUGCGCUCAUGUGUUGUAUGUGUGAUAACAAACAGAGAAGUCAUUGUUGAUGUGAGUGUGUCCCUAAGCGUUGGAAUCUGGCUCAUUGUCUCCAUCCGAAACUCAAACUUUUUAUGAGUUUUCCCAUGUCAUCAGGUUUUUAAAGGCAGGGAAAGAGUUUUAGGAAAUGUUUCAGAAAGUAUCAUUAUUGCUGUGGUGUAAAAUGGGAAGUCUUUGGUUUGGGUAAUCUAAAUACAAUAGUUUGACUAACUGUUACUCUUCUGUUUGCACUUUGAAGUCGUCACAAGCUCGCUGUGUCUGUGUCUGUCUCUCUUUGUCUGUCUCGCUUUGUCUCCCUCUUUCUCUCGUUCUCUACCCACCCCCAGUCCCUCAACAAGCUCUCAACGUCUCACCUCAGAAUUCGACGUUCCAUCAUGUUUCGCAAACGUCAAAUUUCAAAACUGUUCCAAAUGUCAAUUUUCUAUGUUUUUAAGGUUAAGUUUAGACAUUAACUUCACAUUUUUAAGGUUAGGCAUUAACUCCGAAUGGCUAAGGUAAGGGUUAAGAUUUGGUAUAGGCUUAUAACAAAAAUCACAAAAACUACUUUCUAUCGCUGGAUUUGCACCAGAAGCAGAUGCUUAUGCCUAUCUGCCAUCCCCAUCCACAACAUUCUAGUAAUACCGAAACCUACUUUAAAAUAACAGCGCUCACUGUUGCCCCUAGUGGCCGGUUUCCAUGUCAUCUCCUGACAUCCUCAGACAUGGAUAGACGUCUAAUACUGACUUGUAUCACUGGUGACCUGGCUGAGUCCCUAUCCCCACCCUCUCCUGUUUAACCGACCCAGACACAGGUCUCUGAUGUCAGCCUGAAAGUUGCCACCUCGCCUGGGGGUUCUCUGUAUAGAAGCUGUUCUUAUGACAGCUGAGUUUACCUUAGUUUACCAUUAAGGGUCUUAGUGUGACUCGUAGCACUGCUACGUCUGAAGAAUAUCUCCACCACUAUAUAUCCCACACACACACACACACCCGGGUGGUAGGUAGCCUAGCGGUUAGAGCAUUGGGACACUAACCAAAAGGCUGCUAAUUCAAAUCCCUUAGCCGACAAGGUGAGAAAUCUGUCGAGCACUGCAGUGCUGCUAAAGGCUCUUGAAGGUUGUUUGGCAUUCCAUUUGUUGUUGGUUAACUGGUUAGCUACUUCACCCUGGCCCGUGAUCCCACCAUCCAAGGGUGUCUCAGGGUGAGUUGGGAUAUGCAAAAGACAUAUUUCCAAAAAGGACAAAUAUAAGCACCCACCUUAUUAUUAUUACUACACAUGCACGCACACAGUCAGGUCUAUGAUGUUUCAUAUAGGUAAGUUUGGAAGCAAACCGCUCGAUUUCGUCGCUACAUUAUAUCGGCAUUGAACACGUUACCCUCCCUGGGAGAGGCGGUGACCCCGACAUUUUAUUGUUAAAACGAGAGGCUGCCUGUAUCUUUAAUUUAAAGACCCUUGCUCCCUUCGGUCUCAACAUAGACUUUGUUCUGAAGCCAUUAUUGUGAUUAUUGUGAUGUUGCUAUUCAUUGUAAAGGUUUACAGGCCUAUGUAGCCACAUUUUAUCUAUGAUCGUAUGCUAUCCAUUUGUGUUUUUUAUAUGUUCUAUUUAUAUCUGUCAAUUAACCAAUGAUAUCAAGCCCUACACAGCCAUGAUUACGUGUAUGUCCUUUGACACUAUACAGUAUAAACUAGUGACCCGCAGUGUUUGUCAUUAUACCCUGAUGAAGACAGCUUGUCUGUCGAAACGCUGGUUAUUAGGUUAUUAAACUACUGCAUCUGAGCUCCUCUCCCUUUCUUUUAUUUUUUGAGUGUUGAUCUGUCCCAUGCUGUGAGUAUAUUCCCUGACUGACUCAAUGUCUGUAAUUUCAGCUCUGUGAAAUGUCUGUCUGCUGAGUGGAGGGGUUCCUAAGAUCAGACACUCCACACACAGCAGUACUACUAAGCCUGACGCUCCAGGAGAAACAGAGAUCUCAUUUCAGCUGCACUCACAGGAGAGGAGGUGAAAUGAAAGAGGAAGAGAGGAGAGGAAGAAAGAGAGAAGGGUGAGAUGAGAACCAAGGGUAGUAGACAACCCAACAGAGGUCUGUCUCUAUUCCUGCCUGUACGGGAGACCCUGAGUGCAUGUCCUCUUCUGGCCCUCAACCCUCACCUCGUGAAUGACUGACUAGGGUUUAAUAUUUUCCUGAAAAUCGACCAAUUUUCCUUCCUGAGAAAAUUUCAACCUUCCCUCUAUUCCUGUUCAAACUGGAAAUGCUAUAAAAAAAAAAGCAUGUACAGUGCAUUCGGAAAGUAUUCAGAACCCUGAACUUUUUCCACAUUUUGUUACAUUACAGCCUAAUUCAAAAAACAUUUGAUGGAUUAAAUACUUUUUUUGUCAUCAAUCUACACACAAUAACCCAUAAUGGCAAAGCAAAAACAGGUUUGUAGUACAUUUUGCAAAUGUAUUAAAAAAUUUAAACGGAAAUAUAACAUUUACAUAAGUAUUCAGACCCUUUACUCAGUACUUAGUUGAAGCAACUUUGGCAGCGAUUAUAGCCUUGAAUCCUCUUGGGUAUGACGCUACAAGCUUGGCACACCUAUAUUUGGGAAGUUUCUCCCAUUUUUCUCUGCAGAUCCUCUCAAGCUCUGUCAGGUUGGAUGGGGAGCGUUGCUGUACAGCUAUUUUCAGGUCUAUCCAGAGAUGUUCGAUAGGGUUCAAGUCCAGGUUCUGGCUGGGCCACUUAAGGACAUUCAGAGACUUGUCCCGAAGUCACCCCUGCGUUGUCUUGGUUGUGUGCUUAGGGUCUUUGUCCUGUUGGAAGUUUAACCUUCGCCCCUGCUCUGGAGCAGGUUUUCAUCAAGGAUCUCUCUGUACUUUGCUCCGUUCAUCUUUCCCUCAAUCCUGACUAGUCUCCCAGUCCCUGCCGCUGCAAAACAUCCCCACAGCAUGUUGCUGCCACCACCAUGCUUCACCGUAGGGAUGGUGCCAGGUUUCCUCCAGAAGUGACACUUGUCAUUCAGGCUAAAGAGUUCAAUCUUUGUUUCAUCAGACAGGAGAAUCUUGUUUGUCAUGGUCUGAUACGUGCCUUUUGGCAAAUUCCAAGCAGGCUGUCAUGUGCCUUUUACUGAGGAGUGGCUUCUGUCUAGCCACUCUACCAUAAAGGCCUGAUUGGUGGAAUGCUACAAGAGAUGGUUGUCCUUCUGGAAGAUUCUUCCAUCUCCACAGAGGAUCUCUGGAGCUUUGUCAGAGUGACCAUCGGGUCACCUCCCUGACCAAGGCCCUUCUCCACCGGUUGCUCAGUUUGGCUGAGCGGCCAGCUCUAGGAAGAGUCUUGGAAAUCCCCAAAAAUUGUCAAAGACUCCAGUCACCCAAGUCAUACACUGUUCUCUCUACUACCCUACGGCAAGCAGUACCGGAGAGCCAAGUCUAGGACCAAAAGGCUCCUUAACAGCUUCUACCCCCAAGCCAUAUGACUGCUGAACAAUUAAUGAAAUGCACACCCAGACUAUUUACAUUGACACACCCCCGCCCCCCCCAUUUGUUUUUACACUGCUGUAACCUGUACCCCCGCACUUUGACUCAGUACCAGUACACCGUAUAUAUCCUCGUUAUUGUUAUUUUAUUGUGUUACUCUUUCAUCAUUUUUUACUUUAGUUUAUUUGGUAAAUAUUUUCUCAACUCUUUCCUGAACUGCAAUGUUGGUUAAGGGCUGGUAAGUAAGCAUUUCACGGUAAGGUCUACACCUGUUGUAUUCGGCGCGUGUGACAAAUAAAGUUUGAUUUGAUUUGGUGGUUCCAAACUUCUUCCAUUUAAGAAUGUUGGAAACCACUGUGUUCGUGGGGACCUUCAAUGCUGCAGAAAUGUUUUGGUACCCUUCCGCAGAUCUGUGCCUCAACACAAUCCUGUCUCGGAGCUCUACAAACCAUUCCUUCUACCUGAUGGCUUGGUUUUUAAUCUGACAUGCACCGUCAACUGUGGGACCUUAUAUAGACAGGGGUGUGCCUUUCCAAAUCAUGUCCAAUCAAUUGAAUUUACCACAGGUGGACUCCAAUGAAGUUGUAGAAACAUCUCAAGGAUGAUCAAUGGAAACAGGAUGCACCUGAGCUUAAUUUCGAGUCUCAUAGCAAAGGGUCUGAAUACUUAUGUAAGUAAAGUAUUUAUUGUUUUUUUUAUUUGCAACAAAAAUCAAAAAAUCUGUUUUCGCUUGCCAAAAUCUGACAUAAUUAUACCACUGUACAUGGAGAAAUAUACAACUUAAUCUAACAGUUUCUUGUUGUAUUUGUUGCAAUUUAAUCUAAGUUCUCUCAUGAAGUCACCCCAUUAGCUUGCUGAUGUAGGGCAUAGCUUAUUUUUAAUGUACACUUUAGGGAAAAAAAGGGUUUCAAUAGAGUUCUACGAAGAACCAUUUUGAUCUGAAGAACCACUUUGUAAGGUAAAGGCUUCUACCUAGAACCUUUAACAUCCUAGGAAUCAUUUUUGGAAGGAAGGGUUUGUUGAUGAUUCUUCGGAAGGCAAGAACGGUUCUACAUAGAACCAUAUAUAAUAUUUCCCAGCAUGCUCUAUUACAGGGAGAUUGUCAGAAUUGUUUGUUUUCGUGUUAUCUGUGUUUCUGCAUGUACACUGAACACAAAUAUAAAUGCAACAUGCAACAAUUUCAUUUUUUUUUACUGAAUUACAGUUCAUAUAAGGAAAUCAGCUAAUUUAAAUAAAGGCCCUAAUUAGGCCCUAAUCUAUGGA